Molecule: long non-coding RNA, 562 nt
Organism: Ovis aries (sheep)
Lineage: Eukaryota; Metazoa; Chordata; Mammalia; Artiodactyla; Bovidae
Source: Ensembl
GUUCUUGCCUGGAGAAUCCCAGGGACGGGGGAGCCUGGUGGGCUGCUGUCUAUGGGGUCACACAGAGUUGGACACGACUGAAGCAACUUAGCAGCAGCAGCAGCAGCAGCAGACCAUCAUGCCAAGGAAUGCAACCUGUCACCACAGUCCAACAAGCACCACUUCUGCUACAGCGCCGAUCAUAUGGUAGCUUCAUGUCUGCCGAAGGCCCAGCAAGCUCCCAGCUCCCAGGGAAAGCAAGCCUACUUUCGGGAGGAGGAAGAAGAGAUCCGUAGCCCUGCCAUGCUCCCAGAGGCCCAGAAUAGAGCCACAGUAGGUAGCAGCUAUCCUUUUGUGAUCAGAAAGUUUUGAGAAGCGGGCAUCAAUCAGCAGAGUUCACUGCCCAGGGAUGGAUACAUGAAGCAAGGACAAGAUCCUUAACCUUAAACAGUUCUGGGCGUUUCCUGCUUGGCUUCCAGGGAGACCAUCAGCUAUGGCUUCUUCGUGGUUCCCAGAGCCACGGUCCUGCUCUGCUGCAGAAGUGAGUUGGACUAUAAAGAAAGCUGAGCACCGAAUUGAUGCG